RNAcentral lists this ribosomal RNA (227 nucleotides) under uncultured bacterium. RNAcentral's name for it is "partial 16S ribosomal RNA". It matches the Rfam family "Bacterial small subunit ribosomal RNA", at positions 107 to 334 of the family's 1533-position model. The record is from RNAcentral.
UGAGUAACACGUAUCCAACCUGCCGUCUACUCUUGGACAGCCUUCUGAAAGGAAGAUUAAUACAAGAUGGCAUCAUGAGUCCACAUGUUCACAUGAUUAAAGGUAUUCCGGUAGACGAUGGGGAUGCGUUCCAUUAGAUAGUAGGCGGGGUAACGGCCCACCAAGACGAUGAUAGGUAGGGGUUCUGAGAGGAAGGUCCCCCACAUUGGAACUGAGACACGGUCCAA